UUUAUGGAGAGUUUGAUCCUGGCUCAGGAUGAACGCUGGCGGCGUGCCUAAUACAUGCAAGUCGAGCGAACGGACGAGAAGCUUGCUUCUCUGAUGUUAGCGGCGGACGGGUGAGUAACACGUGGAUAACCUACCUAUAAGACUGGGAUAACUUCGGGAAACCGGAGCUAAUACCGGAUAAUAUUUUGAACCGCAUGGUUCAAAAGUGAAAGACGGUCUUGCUGUCACUUAUAGAUGGAUCCGCGCUGCAUUAGCUAGUUGGUAAGGUAACGGCUUACCAAGGCAACGAUGCAUAGCCGACCUGAGAGGGUGAUCGGCCACACUGGAACUGAGACACGGUCCAGACUCCUACGGGAGGCAGCAGUAGGGAAUCUUCCGCAAUGGGCGAAAGCCUGACGGAGCAACGCCGCGUGAGUGAUGAAGGUCUUCGGAUCGUAAAACUCUGUUAUUAGGGAAGAACAUAUGUGUAAGUAACUGUGCACAUCUUGACGGUACCUAAUCAGAAAGCCACGGCUAACUACGUGCCAGCAGCCGCGGUAAUACGUAGGUGGCAAGCGUUAUCCGGAAUUAUUGGGCGUAAAGCGCGCGUAGGCGGUUUUUUAAGUCUGAUGUGAAAGCCCACGGCUCAACCGUGGAGGGUCAUUGGAAACUGGAAAACUUGAGUGCAGAAGAGGAAAGUGGAAUUCCAUGUGUAGCGGUGAAAUGCGCAGAGAUAUGGAGGAACACCAGUGGCGAAGGCGACUUUCUGGUCUGUAACUGACGCUGAUGUGCGAAAGCGUGGGGAUCAAACAGGAUUAGAUACCCUGGUAGUCCACGCCGUAAACGAUGAGUGCUAAGUGUUAGGGGGUUUCCGCCCCUUAGUGCUGCAGCUAACGCAUUAAGCACUCCGCCUGGGGAGUACGACCGCAAGGUUGAAACUCAAAGGAAUUGACGGGGACCCGCACAAGCGGUGGAGCAUGUGGUUUAAUUCGAAGCAACGCGAAGAACCUUACCAAAUCUUGACAUCCUUUGACAACUCUAGAGAUAGAGCUUUCCUCUUCGGGGGACAAAGUGACAGGUGGUGCAUGGUUGUCGUCAGCUCGUGUCGUGAGAUGUUGGGUUAAGUCCCGCAACGAGCGCAACCCUUAAGCUUAGUUGCCAUCAUUAAGUUGGGCACUCUAAGUUGACUGCCGGUGACA
RNAcentral lists this ribosomal RNA (1178 nucleotides) under Staphylococcus aureus. RNAcentral's name for it is "bacterial SSU rRNA". It matches the Rfam family "Bacterial small subunit ribosomal RNA", at positions 1 to 1160 of the family's 1533-position model. Lineage: Bacteria; Bacillati; Bacillota; Bacilli; Caryophanales; Staphylococcaceae. The record is from RNAcentral.